AAAAAAGCAAUGAAGAGAAGAAGUAGCGCCUUUGCUUUUUCACAGAGAGCUCCGAUUGGUGGUGAAAAGGAGUAUCAGCGAAGGCGCGAACAUGGCCUCUGAGCUGCGCGACUGAAUGGAUUUUCUUGAAGUAAGCCGCGACGAGUUAAGGUUCUCGUUAUAAAAACCGGAGUUUAUGCAUACGUCGUGCAUGCACUCGCUGAGAUCGGUCAUGUGAAUGUCCGGUAAAACAAGGUGGUACCACGGAAAUGAACCCCCGUCCUUAGU
RNAcentral lists this non-coding RNA (267 nucleotides) under Sporolactobacillus inulinus. RNAcentral's name for it is "T-box sequence". It matches the Rfam family "T-box leader". From Rfam's summary of the family: Uncharged tRNA acts as the effector for transcription antitermination of genes in the T-box leader family. T-boxes are found upstream of many aminoacyl-tRNA synthetase genes and some amino acid biosynthetic genes usually in Gram-positive bacteria. Lineage: Bacteria; Bacillati; Bacillota; Bacilli; Caryophanales; Sporolactobacillaceae. The record is from RNAcentral.